CAGUAGCCGCGGUAAUACGUAGGUGGCAAGCGUUGUCCGGAAUUAUUGGGCGUAAGGGGCUCGCAGGCGGUUUCUUAAGUCUGAUGUGAAAGCCCCCGGCUCAACCGGGGAGGGUCAUUGGAAACUGGGAAACUUGAGUGCAGAAGAGGAGAGUGGAAUUCCACGUGUAGCGGUGAAAUGCGUAGAGAUGUGGAGGAACACCAGUGGCGAAGGCGACUCUCUGGUCUGUAACUGACGCUGAGGAGCGAAAGCGUGGGGAGCGAACAGGAUUAGAUACCCCAGAGUCCCUGUCUCUUAUACA
RNAcentral lists this ribosomal RNA (301 nucleotides) under uncultured bacterium. RNAcentral describes it as "partial 16S ribosomal RNA". It matches the Rfam family "Bacterial small subunit ribosomal RNA", at positions 509 to 808 of the family's 1533-position model. The record is from RNAcentral.